GGCUUAGUGGCAGAGCACGUGGCUUAUAACCACGUGGUCGUGGGUUCGAUCCCCAU
This 56-nucleotide transfer RNA is filed under the name Nicotiana sylvestris (wood tobacco). It matches the Rfam family "tRNA", at positions 9 to 63 of the family's 71-position model. Rfam says of the family: Transfer RNA (tRNA) molecules are approximately 80 nucleotides in length. Their secondary structure includes four short double-helical elements and three loops (D, anti-codon, and T loops). The record is from Rfam by way of RNAcentral. Lineage: Eukaryota; Viridiplantae; Streptophyta; Magnoliopsida; Solanales; Solanaceae.